CCUACGGGAGGCUGCAGUGGGGAAUAUUGCGCAAUGGGGGAAACCCUGACGCAGCGACGCCGCGUGAGCGAAGAAAGCCUUAGGGUUGUAAAGCUCUGUUGUAAGGGAAGAAGUUCUUGAGCAAUAAUACAGCUUGAGAGUGACGGUACCUUACUAGAAAGCCCCGGCUAACUACGUGCCAGCAGCCGCGGUAAGACGUAGGGGGCGAGCGUUGUCCGGAAUUACUGGGCGUAAAGAGCACGUAGGCGGAUAUUUAAGUCAGAUGUGAAAGACCGCAGCUCAACUGCGGGGUUGCAUUUGAAACUGGGUAUCUAGAGAGCAGGAGAGGGAAGUGGAAUUCCUAGUGUAGCGGUGAAAUGCGUAGAGAUUAGGGGGAACACCAGUGGCGAAGGCGGCUUCCUGGCCUGUAACUGACGCUGAGGCACGAAAGCGUGGGUAGCGAACAGGAUUAGAUACCCUGGUAGUCAC
This 468-nucleotide ribosomal RNA is filed under the name uncultured bacterium. Its description in RNAcentral is "bacterial SSU rRNA". It matches the Rfam family "Bacterial small subunit ribosomal RNA", at positions 338 to 798 of the family's 1533-position model. The record is from RNAcentral.